Molecule: long non-coding RNA, 1429 nt
Organism: Daphnia magna
Lineage: Eukaryota; Metazoa; Arthropoda; Branchiopoda; Diplostraca; Daphniidae
Exons: 5
Source: RefSeq, a predicted model, not a curated record
AUUUAAAACUUAGUUUGGGGUUUUUUCUGAUUCCAAGUGUUUGCUACUCUGGAUCCGUUUCAUCCAAAAAUCGAUUGAUUGAGUGGAAAACUAAUAUUUUAUUCUGAAUUAGCUUCUCAUUUUGGUUGUAAUAGAUUAAGUUUUAUUGAAUUCCAAGUCAAAAUUCUAAACCGAACUUUCGGACUUAAUUCCGACUUCACACUAAUCGGACUUUUUAUACAAUAAGUCGGUCUUAAAAUGUCGGGCUUAAUUAAUGAAGUAAAACUAGAUAUCUUAUCAAUAGAUGGCUACACUGUUUAGUGGAUCGUCUGCAGUAAAAAUUCAUAUCAGAUGUGGCCUAGUUGUUAUGUAAUUUUGCAGCUGUGGACUUUCUUUAGAUGACACUUGUAUCGGAAAUAUUUUCCUGUUUCUUGGAACAAGAAACAUAGAAUGUGUGUCUUGAUGCCAACUAAGUGUCACUAAGUGUCAUUGGAAAGAUGUUAAGCAGGAGAAACCUUAAGUUGGAGGAUGAUACAUUUGUUUCCCGUUUGUUCCUAGUUUUGUAAAACAAAUGGGAAAUUGGUAAAAUGAAACAACAUAUUACCUAUUACUUUAAAUAAAUUGUUUUUAAAAGUGGAGAUUGAUUCCAAAUCUUCAGCUUCCCAGGCAGACACCCAUCCACAAAGCCAUGGGUGAUAGAUGAUGUUCACAGUGGGCACGACUGUGUUGUAAAUUGGUGUCACUUUAACAAAGCCAAACAGCAGAUUUAGAUCACGUGUCUACUGUGAAAGAGAUAAUGUGUUUCAACGAAAAUGGCUCUCCCCAGUGUGUCCCAUGUGAUGCAGAACUCUUGAAAUCAAGUUGAAUGUUUUGAACCAUCUUAGGACAAAGCUGAAGUUCUAGUUUGCAGUGGUAUUAGAAAAGUCGUCGUUUUUUUGGUUAGAGUUUCUUCGCCGUCCGAUGCAUCAGUUGGAAGGAUGUUCACUUCCUCGACAUCAUUGCUCCCGUAAUUUAUUAACUUUGUGCUUCGAAAAAAGUUGUACUAAGCUUCAAUUUUUAAAAGAAAAGUUUCAUGCAUUAUUCUUAUCUCGAGAUUAUAUCGACCUUCAAAGGCAAAUCGGAAGAGGGUAUCCUUUUCCUUGACUUAAAGGACAGAAAUUUAAGCAUUAGCAAGUCAUCCGCAUCCGAACAGAUCAAAUGCACGAAGUAUUCCGCCUCGUCCGGCAACUUACGAUCCAGCAACGCAUCCAUCAACAGAAUGUAUUAAAGAGGAAAGUAAUGACCUAAUGCCGACUGGACGAUUUCCAUGCAAGAUGAAUGUUAAAAUCCAAGGAUAUCUGGAGAACCAUUAGCUGAAUACAAUAAAUACUAUCAGUUCUCCAGAACAAGAGGCCAACAUAGGUUAAUAAUCAUGACUGAAUCAAAAGAGGUACAUACUUGAACGAGAUUU